AACCACAGCCAUGUCACCCUGCAGCCCAAGACCAGUUACUCACUGAAGCUAAGCAGGGCUGAGCCUGGUUGGUACCUGGAUGGGAGACCACAAGGGAACACUAGGUUGCUGUUGGAA
RNAcentral lists this ribosomal RNA (117 nucleotides) under Danio rerio (zebrafish). The record is from RNAcentral. Lineage: Eukaryota; Metazoa; Chordata; Actinopteri; Cypriniformes; Danionidae.